Molecule: ribosomal RNA, 253 nt
Filed under: uncultured bacterium
Lineage: Bacteria
Description: partial 16S ribosomal RNA
Rfam family: Bacterial small subunit ribosomal RNA
Source: RNAcentral
GCAAGUCGAGCGGUAACAGGAAGUAGCUUGCUACAGAUGACGACCGGCGAACGGGUGCGUAACGCGUAUAGAAUCUGCCUUGUACAGGAGGAUAGCCUUUAGAAAUGAAGAUUAAUACUCCAUAAUGUAGUGAUUCGGCAUCGAAACACUAUUAAACAUUUAUGGGUACAAGAUGACUAUGCGUCCUAUUAGCUAGAUGGUAAGGUAAUGGCUUACCAUGGCAACGAUAGGUAGGGGGUCUGAGAGGAUUAUC